This 775-nucleotide ribosomal RNA is filed under the name uncultured Neocallimastigales. RNAcentral describes it as "partial large subunit ribosomal RNA". It matches the Rfam family "Eukaryotic large subunit ribosomal RNA", at positions 22 to 642 of the family's 3401-position model. Lineage: Eukaryota; Fungi; Neocallimastigomycota; Neocallimastigomycetes; Neocallimastigales. The record is from RNAcentral.
GUACACGCUGUGACUAGCAUAUCAAUAAGCGGAGGAAAAGAAACUAACAAGGAUUCCCCUAGUAACGGCGAGUGAAGCGGGAAGAGCUCAAAUUUGAAAUCUUAAAGGGUUUCCCUUUACGAAUUGUAGUUUAAAGAAGUGUUUUCUGUUGAGGUUUCGGUAAAAGUUCUUUGGAAUAGGACAUCAUAGAGGGUGAGAAUCCCGUAUUUGACCUUUACUUUCAACUUUGUGAUACACUUUCAAAGAGUCGGAUUGUUUGGGAAUGCAGUCCAAAAUGGGUGGUAAAUUUCAUCUAAAGCUAAAUAUUGGCGAGAGACCGAUAGCGAACAAGUACCGUGAGGGAAAGAUGAAAAGAACUUUGAAAAGAGAGUUAAACAGUACGUGAAAUUGUCAAAAGGGAAGCGUUUGACACCAGUGUUGUUUUUCCUGAAAAUCAAUUAAAAAUUGAUUCAUGCCAGGUUGUAUUGACCUUAUCAGCUUGCAAUUUGGUUUUGGGUCUCUUUUUGAUGCACUUUUCGGUUAACAAGUCAACAUCAAUUUCCUUUGCUGUAAAAAGGUAAGAGGAAGGUGGCUUCAAUUUCGGUUGAAGUGUUUAUAGCCUUUUAUCUCUGCAGUCGGGGAGAUUGAGGUCUGCAGCGUAGAUCCUUCGGGGUUAGAUACAUUUAUGCUAAGUUAUAGCUUUUCAUAGACAACUUGUUGACUAUGUUUAGUCAUGUAGCUUACUCGUAAGUGCUAUUUUACCUACGCUUAGGAUGUUGAGCGCAUGUCUCUCUCU